RNAcentral lists this ribosomal RNA (579 nucleotides) under Providencia rettgeri. RNAcentral describes it as "partial 23S ribosomal RNA". It matches the Rfam family "Bacterial large subunit ribosomal RNA", at positions 1 to 586 of the family's 2925-position model. Lineage: Bacteria; Pseudomonadati; Pseudomonadota; Gammaproteobacteria; Enterobacterales; Morganellaceae. The record is from RNAcentral.
GGUUAAGCGACUAAGCGUACACGGUGGAUGCCUAGGCAAUCAGAGGCGAUGAAGGACGUGCUAAUCUGCGAUAAGCGUCGGUAAGGUGAUAUGAACCGUGAUAACCGACGAUUUCCGAAUGGGGAAACCCAGUGCAAUUCGUUGCACUAUCGUUUGAUGAAUACAUAGUCAAACGAAGCGAACCGGGGGAACUGAAACAUCUCAGUACCCCGAGGAAAAGAAAUCAACCGAGAUUCCCCUAGUAGCGGCGAGCGAACGGGGAGCAGCCCAGAGUCUUAAUCAGCAUUAGCAUCAGGAGAACGGUCUGGAAAGGCCGGCAGUAAAGGGUGAUAGCCCCGUAUCCGAAGGUGUUAGUGUUGUGAACUCGACGAGUAGGGCGGGACACGUGUUAUCCUGUCUGAAUAUGGGGGGACCAUCCUCCAAGGCUAAAUACUCCUGAUUGACCGAUAGUGAACCAGUACCGUGAGGGAAAGGCGAAAAGAACCCCGGCGAGGGGAGUGAAAUAGAACCUGAAACCGUGUACGUACAAGCAGUGGGAGCCCCACCACCAAAGCAUUUUCUGGUGUUGAGGACAACUUU